GGAGCUUGUGGUUUAAUUUGAUGCAAAUUAAAGAAUCUUACUAGGGCUUGAUAUGUCGUGAAUCCUCUUGAAGAGAGGGGCGCCUUCGGGAAUGCAGACACAAGUAGUGCAUAAUUGUCAUCAGCUCGUGCCGUAAGGUGUUGGGUUAAGCCCAGCAACGAGCGCAACCCUCAUACUUAGUUGUCAUCGUUUAGUUUGGAACCCUGAACAUACUGUUUGUGAUAAGCCGGAGGAAGGUGAGGAUGACGUAAAGUCAUCACGUCCCUUAUGCCCUGGGCGACGUGCUAUAAUAACGAAAGCAAUUUGAAAAAUAUUUUGACAAAAUUUGAUUGAAGAUUAAAAAUAAUGUCUAUAUAUUUGG
This 361-nucleotide non-coding RNA is filed under the name Nicotiana sylvestris (wood tobacco). RNAcentral's name for it is "Bacterial small subunit ribosomal RNA". It matches the Rfam family "Bacterial small subunit ribosomal RNA", at positions 934 to 1329 of the family's 1533-position model. Lineage: Eukaryota; Viridiplantae; Streptophyta; Magnoliopsida; Solanales; Solanaceae. The record is from Rfam by way of RNAcentral.